AAGACAAUGGGAUGAGGAGGGAGAGAGAAUUUGUUAUUAACUCUCAUUUUGAAACAAGAAUAUCAAGUUUGAAUAAAUCUCUCACUACUGCCAUUUUGCCUCCUAAAAAGACAGAGGGCGAGCAGUUCUUAUUAUUAUUAUGAAAUUUAAUAUAUUUUUAUUAAAUAUAAUUAUUAAAAUGACUUUUAUAAUGAAUUUAAUAACCAUAGUAAAAUGGUUGUUUUCUACUAAUUUCCCACUUGCUACGAGAGGAGAGAAGCUCUGAUUAGAGCAUUUAUCUGCUUUUAGUGAGACAUAAGCGAGGCUUCGACAUUGCUUCAUUUUUAUAUACUCUCUAAAUAUAUAUUCAUUGAUCGAUACAUAAAGAAUUCAUUUACUGAUUGGGUUUGAUUUGGCUUUAAAAGGACGCCUACACACAGAGAUUAAGGAAAUAUGAGCGGAAUGGGAAGGCAGGGACAGAGAUCUGGAGCUACAGCGGUGCAUCACCAGAGACAGUACUCUGAUAAUUUCUUAGACUCUUCUUCUAAUGGUAGAUGGCUUCAAUCUGCUGGUCUUCAACACCUUCAAAAUUCUUCUGCUUCUUCUAUUCCUUCUCUUCAGGACUAUAAAUUCCAUGGUGGUGGAGGAGGAGGAGGGCAGGGGAUAAUGUAUCGCAAUGCCCAGAGGAGUUUUAAUGGAACAAAUGAGUUCUAUGCAGAGCCUACAACGCCUCCUAUCAGUUCACGGCCAUCUACCCAGAGGAAGAAUGGCGAAGACUUUCCAAAUGAUUUCAGUCCUGGGCUAUUGGAUCUGCAAUCGUUUGAUACCGAGUUACUUCCUGAGAUGCCAGUUCCUGGCCUUUAUGAUAGUUCCUCUUUGUUUCAUCCUGUUCGUGGUAGAAGCUUUGACGACUCCGAACCUUAUAUUUCAACCAACAAUCAGACUGGCAGAGCUCCUGUUUUACCGGAUAACAAUCUCUUGAAGAGCUUUGCAGCGGACAAAGAGAAAAACAGUUCCGUUGCGAAGAUCAAAGUUGUGGUGCGCAAAAGACCAUUGAAUAAAAAGGAACUGGCAAAAAAUGAAGAAGAUAUAAUAGAAACACAUUCCAAUUCUGUAACAGUUCAUGAGACCAAGCUCAAGGUUGAUCUAACUGAAUAUGUUGAGAAGCAUGAAUUUGUCUUUGAUGCAGUGCUGAAUGAGGAAGUCUCAAAUGAUGAGGUAUAUCGUGAGACAGUGGAGCCCAUAGUUCCAAUAAUUUUUGAACGCACAAAAGCAACUUGUUUUGCAUAUGGGCAAACAGGAAGUGGAAAAACCUAUACUAUGAAACCAUUACCUCUCAAGGCUUCACGGGAUAUAUUGCGGUUGAUGCAUCACACUUACAGGAACCAGGGAUUUCAGCUAUUUGUGAGUUUCUUCGAAAUAUACGGGGGAAAACUAUUUGAUCUUCUCAGUGACCGGAAAAAGCUUUGCAUGAGAGAGGACGGCAAGCAGCAAGUUUGCAUUGUUGGUUUGCAUGAGUACAAAGUAUCAGAUGUAGAGACAAUUAAGGACCUCAUUGAGAAAGGAAAUGCUACCAGAAGUACUGGAACAACGGGUGCAAAUGAGGAAUCCUCUCGUUCGCAUGCCAUACUUCAACUUGCUAUCAAGAGGUCAUUUGAUGGCAAGCCUCCACGUCCAGUGGGCAAGCUCUCCUUUAUAGAUCUUGCUGGAAGUGAACGUGGUGCAGAUACCACAGAUAAUGAUAAACAGACAAGAAUGGAAGGUGCAGAGAUCAACAAGAGUUUACUUGCAUUGAAGGAAUGCAUAAGGGCUCUUGACAAUGACAAGAGUCAUAUUCCUUUCAGAGGCAGCAAGUUGACUGAGGUUCUAAGGGAUUCUUUUGUUGGCAAUUCCCGCACUGUUAUGAUAUCCUGCAUUUCUCCAAGCUCAGGAUCAUGUGAACAUACCCUCAACACCUUAAGAUAUGCAGACAGAGUGAAGAGUCUUUCAAAAGGAAAUGCUCCAAAGAAGGACAUAUUAUCUUCGGCCUUAAACCUAAAGGAAUCAACCACCAUGCCCUUAUCCUCAGUUUUACCUGCUACAUGUACCUUUCAGGAUGACAUAAAUGAUGCAUGGGCGGAACAAGAUGAACGAGAUGAUUUUGAUGCAUCUGAAGACUCCUACGAACAAGAGAAACCAAUAUGGAAGGAGAAUGUGAAGGUGGAAUCAUAUAAUCUAUCAAUUUCAGAGGAUAAAAUACGGAAACCCAAUGGUUGGACAAAUUGGAAGGAUCUGUUAAAAUCUGAUGAUAAGAACUCACAUUCAGAUGAUUUAAAUGCUCUGCUACAGGUAAUUCAGAAAAUAAUGAAUGCAUAUGCAGUUCUUUUGGAUAUGCAGAUACCUAAGUUGGCAUAUUAAACUUCUGAUACAUAUCCUCAGGAAGAACAGGACCUCGUAAAUGCUCAUAGAAAACAGGUGGAGGAGACCAUGAACAUUGUUAGGGAGGUAUGUGAUGUGGCCAAAUCACUCAAAUUGUCGUUGUACUUGAGCCUUAAGCUCAUAUUCUUUCAUUUUCGUUCAUAGCACGUCUCCAUGGCCCUUGGGUCCUUUAGCUUUUGUGAAUAAAUUGGGGUGAUAAAAAAAUGUGCUGAUCUAAUGGAUUCUCUGUGGCAAAACUUGGCAAAGCUGUAACUAUUUUGGAAAACUUGAGAUGACGCAUUUCGUUGGGAAACCAACCUUACUGAGUUUUUGGAUCUGUGCUGUAGCUUCAUGCCUUGUGAGGAUUUUGGAGCCCAAAAAAAAUGUGUACAAGGGGUUAAUACGUAAUACAUGGAUAUUUAUGAAUGUUCUUUUUUUCAAUUGCAGGAGAUGGACCUGCUGGUUGAAGCUGAUCAACCAGGGAAUCAGCUCGACAAUUACAUCACCAGACUGAAUGCUAUUCUUUCUCAGAAGGCUGCAGGAAUACUCCAAUUACAAAAUCGUUUGGCGCAUUUUCAGAAGCUUUUGAAGGAGCAUAAUAUUUUAGCAUCUUCUUCUAGGUACUAAUCCAUGACAAAUGGUUACCUCUUUUACAGUCGGUUGCACGAUUGUUGGCCUUGAAGUGGAGUUGGGUAUGUGCAAUUCUGGAUGAUUUACCGGCCGUUAUGCAUCUCUUGUAUUCUUUAUUUGGUUUGAGGGGUUGGAGAUUUGAUUAUUUGUUCAACAAGUUACAGGCAAGCAUUGGAUUGCAUGCCAUUUGGCAUGCUUAUGUAAAGUUAUGAUGCACUAUGAUUUGAUUCAUUAAUGGAAUACUUGUUUACUAUUUAAA
RNAcentral lists this unclassified non-coding RNA (3265 nucleotides) under Hevea brasiliensis (rubber tree). The record is from RNAcentral. Lineage: Eukaryota; Viridiplantae; Streptophyta; Magnoliopsida; Malpighiales; Euphorbiaceae.